CCAAUAGCGUAUAUUAAAGUUGUUGCAGUUAAAAAGCUCGUAGUUGAAUUUCGGGGUCAGUAGGUCGGUCGUGCCACUGGUAUGAACUGGUUUUACUGAUUCCUCCCUCUUGAAGAACUGUAAUGCCAUUAAUUUGGUGUUGCAGGGAAUCAGGACUGUUACUUUGAAAAAAUUAGAGUGUUUAAGGCAGGCUUUUAGCUUGAAUACAUUAGCAUGGAAUAAUGAAAUAGGACGUUUGAUCCUAUUUUGUUGGUUUCUAGGAUUGACGUAAUGAUUAAUAGGGAUUGUUGGGGGCAUUAGUAUUCAAUUGUCAGAGGUGAAAUUCUUGGAUUUAUUGAAGACUAACUACUGCGAAAGCAUUUGCCAAGGAUGUUUUCAUUAAUCAAGAACGAAAGUUAGGGGAUCGAAGACGAUCAGAUACCGUCGUAGUCUUAACCAUAAACUAUGCCGACUAGGAAUCGGAUGAUGUUUAUUUUUUAAUGACUCAUUCUGCGCCUUACU
RNAcentral lists this ribosomal RNA (501 nucleotides) under uncultured Glomeromycotina. RNAcentral's name for it is "partial small subunit ribosomal RNA". It matches the Rfam family "Eukaryotic small subunit ribosomal RNA", at positions 591 to 1092 of the family's 1831-position model. Lineage: Eukaryota; Fungi; Glomeromycota. The record is from RNAcentral.